AUGGGAGGAGGAACAGACUGUAACCGAAUUCGGACAAGGAUAAAGGAUAUAGCAAUGAACCGCAGAUCUCAGCAUGCCGAGAGAAGCCGCCGAGGCUCAGGACCAAGAAAUGAUGAUGCUCCCGCGCUGCGCCUAACCCACCACCUGGCUUCUCAGAUCUCCCGUCGAUUUGCCCGCCUAAUAUACCUUGUAUAUACAAUUCAAUCAUGUACAAUGUUUCACGAAUCUCUGGAGGAACCCCUACUGAUUCAAGAAAUUCUUACAUUAGACACAAUUGCAGGAGCUACAAACUACCCAACAGAGAAAGAAAAGAAAAGGGGAACAUCUUUACCACUUGAAUAA
Molecule: ribosomal RNA, 342 nt
Filed under: Triticum aestivum (bread wheat)
Lineage: Eukaryota; Viridiplantae; Streptophyta; Magnoliopsida; Poales; Poaceae
Description: partial small subunit ribosomal RNA
Source: RNAcentral